RNAcentral lists this ribosomal RNA (465 nucleotides) under uncultured bacterium. Its description in RNAcentral is "partial 16S ribosomal RNA". It matches the Rfam family "Bacterial small subunit ribosomal RNA", at positions 338 to 795 of the family's 1533-position model. The record is from RNAcentral.
CCUACGGGAGACAGCAGUGGGGAAUAUUGCGCAAUGGGCGAAAGCCUGACGCAGCAACGCCGCGUGAGUGAAGAAGGUCUUCGGAUCGUAAAGCUCUGUUAUCAGGGACGAACGUUCACGGUACUAACUGACUAUGCUUCGACGGUAUCUGACCAGACAGCCCCGGCUAACUACGUGCCAGCAGCCGCGGUAAUACGUAGGGGGCAAGCGUUGUGCGGAUUUAUUGGGCGUAAAGGGAACGUAGGCGGUAUUUCAAGUCAGAUGUGAAGGCCGGGGGCUUAACCGGGGUAGUGCAUUGGAAACUGGGAGACUUGAGUGAAGAAGAGGAGAGCGGAAGUCCAGGUGUAGCGGUGAAAUGCGUAGAUAUAUGGAGGAACACCAGUGGCGAAGGCGGCUAUCUGGGCUGUAACUGACGCUGAGGCGCGAAAGCGUGGGUAGCAAACAGGAUUAGAUACCCGAGUAGUC